UACGUAGGGUGCAAGCGUUGUCCGGAAUUAUUGGGCGUAAAGAGCUCGUAGGCGGUUUGUCGCGUCUGCUGUGAAAACUCGGGGCUUAACUCCGGGCCUGCAGUGGGUACGGGCAGACUAGAGUGCGGUAGGGGGAGACUGGAAUUCCUGGUGUAGCGGUGAAAUGCGCAGAUAUCAGGAGGAACACCGGUGGCGAAGGCGGGUCUCUGGGCCGUAACUGACGCUGAGGAGCGAAAGCAUGGGGAGCGAACAGG
RNAcentral lists this ribosomal RNA (254 nucleotides) under uncultured bacterium. RNAcentral's name for it is "partial 16S ribosomal RNA". It matches the Rfam family "Bacterial small subunit ribosomal RNA", at positions 524 to 776 of the family's 1533-position model. The record is from RNAcentral.